This 513-nucleotide ribosomal RNA is filed under the name uncultured bacterium. RNAcentral describes it as "partial 16S ribosomal RNA". It matches the Rfam family "Bacterial small subunit ribosomal RNA", at positions 28 to 507 of the family's 1533-position model. The record is from RNAcentral.
GACGAACGCUGGCGGCGUGCUUAACACAUGCAAGUCGAACGAAAAGAGGGAAAGAGCUUGCUCUUUCCGGAAUUGAGUGGCAAACGGGUGAGUAACACGUAAACAACCUGCCUUCAGGAUGGGGACAACAGACGGAAACGACUGCUAAUACCGAAUAAGUUCCAAGAGCCGCAUGGCCCAUGGAAGAAAAGGUGGCCUCUACCUGUAAGCUAUCGCCUGAAGAGGGGUUUGCGUCUGAUUAGCUGGUUGGAGGGGUAACGGCCCACCAAGGCGACGAUCAGUAGCCGGUCUGAGAGGAUGAACGGCCACACUGGAACUGAGACACGGUCCAGACUCCUACGGGAGGCAGCAGUGGGGAAUCUUCCGCAAGGGGCGAAAGCCUGACGGAGCAACGCCGCGUGAGUGAGGACGGCCUUCGGGUUGUAAAACUCUGUGAUCCGGGACGAAAAGGCAGAGUGCGAAGAACAAACUGCAUUGACGGUACCGGAAAAGCAAGCCACGGCUAACUACGUG